Molecule: long non-coding RNA, 101 nt
Organism: Etheostoma spectabile (orangethroat darter)
Lineage: Eukaryota; Metazoa; Chordata; Actinopteri; Perciformes; Percidae
Exons: 3
Source: RefSeq, a predicted model, not a curated record
GGCUGACUAAACACAAACAGGAUCGAAUCGAGGCCAAGUGUGACCAUAAAGCACAGAUCAGCGGGAGCAGUGGGGGGUGUGUAUGUGUGUGUGUGUGUGUG